Lathyrus oleraceus (garden pea) is the source of this 1204-nucleotide long non-coding RNA. RefSeq lists it as uncharacterized. The record is from RefSeq and is a predicted model, not a curated record. NCBI's taxonomy places the organism in Eukaryota, Viridiplantae, Streptophyta, Magnoliopsida, Fabales, Fabaceae. The transcript is spliced from 2 exons.
AUCUGGAAAACACAACAUCUCCUCCCUCAUUCUCUUUUUUUUUCCUCUCUCGAUUUCACAUUCAUCAUGAACAAAACUCUAACAUAAUACGAAAAUACGCGAUAGAAUAAAAAAUACAUUAAUGGUAGAUGCACAAGGAUGAUUAAUCACGCACCAAACAUGCUAAAAAAUGGACAACACUGGAGCUCAAAUUUCAUAUAAAAAGUGUUUGAUCCGGCCUCAAACCGAAGCAUCACAUGAUAUUUGGCAUGGAUUCGAGUUCAGGAAAUCAAUAUGAAGAUCUUUAAGUCAUUAUUUCAUGGAAAUCAAGCCACAAUCAUAAAUUUGAGAAAAUACACAAGAACACGAAGAACAUAGUUGACCUAAAUUUAAAUUAAAUGAUCACCAGCAUGAUUUGGAGCAAACUAUUAUGGGGGAAAGAUUCAGCUCAUGUGUAUCAACACAACCAUAUCAAGAAAUUAUGCAAAAGGUGGAGAAAUAUAUAUGAUUGGAAGUUAAGCUCUUCCGAUGAAAAUGAUGAUUCCAGCGACAAAUCUCCAGAACCGGCCACGUCCAAACUUUCAGUGAUGAGUCUCAAACAACCACACUUAAAAAAGGCUUUGGAAGUUUGUUCAUAAUUCAGAACAACUUCUAAAAGUAUUGAGUAAUGGAAGCUUUAAGGUGGGGGUGAAUUGGUGGAUUUGGAAGUGGUUUGUAUGUCUCGAGCUAGAAUUCCUUUUUCUUUUUUCUCUCUCUGAUUUGAAGUUGCUUAAAUAGGCAAUGAGUGAGCUAGGGUGGUGAGCAUUUGAAAAAUAGAAGACAUUUUGGAGAUGUUAGUUAGAGAAAUUGUGUGAACGGAAAGGUGAAGGAGUGGUGAUUAGUGAGCUAGGGUGGUGAUUGGUGGUUAUUUAAAUGAUGAUGAUUAAUGUGGAAUGACAUGUUAUGAAAACUUGGGAUUUGCUCAUGUGUGGCAUGAAGUAUGAAAUUGUUUCAAGUUUGUUUAUAGAUUACAUUCACACUUUUGAUGAUGAUACUUGCAUGGUGAUGUGAGAAAUCUCAUUUGAAUGAUCAUUAUUAAAGGAUUCAUUUAGCUUACUAAUUUUUGGUCUCUUAUGAUGAAAAAAUUAAUAAAGAUGUAAAAAUAAUGAAUAAAAUAAAUUGAACUUUUUCUAUUUAAUUUUAAUUUUGACUUUGUAAAAUUUGAAAUGAUGAAAAAUGUGUAAAA